UCCCAGCGGUCCAAGUCGCAAUCACGUUUAUUGGGUCUAAAACAUCCGUAGCUUGCUACGCAAGUGCUUUGUGAAAUCCGGCUUCUUAAGAGUCGAAGUGCAAAGUAUACUACAUAGCUAGAGACCGGGAGACGUAAGAAGUACGGUUAGAGUAGCGGUUAAAUGUGUUGAUCCUUUCCGGACUAACAAUAGCGAAGGCAUCUUACGAGAACGGAUCUGACAGUGAGGGAUGAAGGCUAGGGGCGCAAAGCGG
Molecule: ribosomal RNA, 253 nt
Filed under: uncultured archaeon
Lineage: Archaea
Description: partial 16S ribosomal RNA
Rfam family: Archaeal small subunit ribosomal RNA
Source: RNAcentral